UACGGAAGGCAGCAGUGGGGAAUAUUGCACAAUGGGCGCAAGCCUGAUGCAGCCAUGCCGCGUGUAUGAAGAAGGCCUUCGGGUUGUAAAGUACUUUCAGUCGUGAGGAAGGUGUUAAGGUUAAUAACCUUAGCAAUUGACGUUAGCGACAGAAGAAGCACCGGCUAACUCCGUGCCAGCAGCCGCGGUAAUACGGAGGGUGCGAGCGUUAAUCGGAAUUACUGGGCGUAAAGGGCACGCAGGCGGUUAAUUAAGUUGGAUGUGAAAUCCCCGGGCUUAACCUGGGAAUGGCAUUCAAGACUGGUUAGCUAGAGUCUUGUAGAGGGGGUAGAAUUCCAUGUGUAGCGGUGAAAUGCGUAGAGAUGUGGAGGAUACCGGUGGCGAAGGCGGCCCCUGGACAAGACUGACGCUCAUGUGCGAAAGCGUGGGGAGCAAACG
This 438-nucleotide ribosomal RNA is filed under the name uncultured bacterium. Its description in RNAcentral is "bacterial SSU rRNA". It matches the Rfam family "Bacterial small subunit ribosomal RNA", at positions 340 to 774 of the family's 1533-position model. The record is from RNAcentral.